Molecule: ribosomal RNA, 494 nt
Filed under: uncultured bacterium
Lineage: Bacteria
Description: partial 16S ribosomal RNA
Rfam family: Bacterial small subunit ribosomal RNA
Source: RNAcentral
GACGAACGCUGGCGGCGUGCUUAACACAUGCAAGUCGAACGGUGAAGCGCCUUCCUUUUUGGUGGGUGUGGAUGAGUGGCGAACGGGUGAGUAACACGUGAGUAACCUGCCCCCUUCUUCUGGAUAACCGCAUGAAAGUGUUGCUAAUACGGGAUAUUCUGGGUCUGUCGCAUGAUGGGUCUGGGAAAGAUAUUGUUUCGGUGGGGGAUGGGCUCGCGGCCUAUCAGCUUGUUGGUGGGGUGAUGGCCUACCAAGGCGGUGACGGGUAGCCGGCCUGAGAGGGUGGACGGUCACACUGGGAAUGAGACACGGCCCAGACUCCUACGGGAGGCAGCAGUGGGGAAUAUUGCACAAUGGGCGCAAGCCUGAUGCAGCGACGCCGCGGGAGGGAUGGAGGCCUUCGGGUUGUGAACCUCUUUCGCCAGUGAAGCAGGCCUGCCUCGUUUGUGGGUGGGUUGACGGUAGCUGGAUAAGAAGCGCCGGCUAACUACGUG